UACAGAGGAGCCAAGCGUUGUCCGGAUUGACUGGGCGUAAAGCGCACGCAGGCGGACGCGCGCGUGGGGUGUGAAAUCUGGCCGCUUAACGGCCAGGCGCCAUCCCAUACGGCGCGGCUCGAGCCGUCCAGAGGCCGGUGGAAUUGCCGGUGUAGUGGUGAAAUGCGUAGAUAUCGGGAGGAACACCGGUGGCGAAGGCGGCGACCUGGGUCGAUACUGACGCUGAGGCGCGAAAGCGUGGGGAGCAAACAGG
RNAcentral lists this ribosomal RNA (253 nucleotides) under uncultured bacterium. RNAcentral describes it as "partial 16S ribosomal RNA". It matches the Rfam family "Bacterial small subunit ribosomal RNA", at positions 524 to 776 of the family's 1533-position model. The record is from RNAcentral.